UUAGAAAUCCUCACCACCCCAUAAAACUACAAGCAUUAGGAUGAGCCAAAUAGAACCACUGCAAUAACAAGCAAAACAAGCACUAUACGUCUAUCAAUGAGCUUAUGGUGCAAGUUAUUGGAAUUUGGCAUCAUCACUGUCCUUAACCCUAACAUUAAUAGAUAAGGAGAUGCUGAAUAAGUCAUAAUGACCAUACAAAUCAAAGAAAUCUUGUGGAUAGGAAUGAGGCUAAUUAUAAUGAGUAAAAUCCACACGAAAUGUGAAAAUUUCAGUGCAAAUUGGCCUAGCUUUCUCCUCAUUCGAAGACUUGAAUCCUUCGGUUCAUCGGCCGCCAGCUGAACCGUAUCGGUGGAUGUUACUGCAGUGCUCAGCCUUAGACCAUCUCCAUAACUAGCCAUUUGUUAAAG
RNAcentral lists this unclassified non-coding RNA (407 nucleotides) under Hevea brasiliensis (rubber tree). Lineage: Eukaryota; Viridiplantae; Streptophyta; Magnoliopsida; Malpighiales; Euphorbiaceae. The record is from RNAcentral.